UGGGGAAUAUUGCACAAUGGGCGCAAGCCUGAUGCAGCCAUGCCGCGUGUGUGAAGAAGGCCUUCGGGUUGUAAAGCACUUUCAGCGGGGAGGAAGGCGAUAAGGUUAAUAACCUUGUCGAUUGACGUUACCCGCAGAAGGAGCACCGGCUAACUCCGUGCCAGCAGCCGCGGUAAUACGGAGGGUGCAAGCGUUAAUCAGAAUUACUGGGCGUAAAGCGCCCGCAGGCGGUCUGUCAAGUCGGAUGUGAAAUCCCCGGGCUCAACCUGGGAACUGCAUUCGAAACUGGCAGGCUAGAGUCUUGUAGAGGGGGGUAGAAUUCCAGGUGUAGCGGUGAAAUGCGUAGAGAUCUGGAGGAAUACCGGUGGCGAAGGCGGCCCCCUGGACAAAGACUGACGCUCAGGUGCGAAAGCGUGGGGAGCAAACAGG
Molecule: ribosomal RNA, 429 nt
Filed under: Chloroflexota bacterium
Lineage: Bacteria; Bacillati; Chloroflexota
Description: Chloroflexi bacterium partial 16S ribosomal RNA
Rfam family: Bacterial small subunit ribosomal RNA
Source: RNAcentral